RNAcentral lists this ribosomal RNA (403 nucleotides) under uncultured bacterium. RNAcentral describes it as "bacterial SSU rRNA". It matches the Rfam family "Bacterial small subunit ribosomal RNA", at positions 355 to 776 of the family's 1533-position model. The record is from RNAcentral.
UGGGGAAUAUUGGGCAAUGGGGGAAACCCUGACCCAGCGACGCCGCGUGAGGGAAGAAGGUUUUCGGAUUGUAAACCUCUGUCCUUGGUGACGAUAAUGACGGUAGCCAAGGAGGAAGCCACGGCUAACUACGUGCCAGCAGCCGCGGUAAUACGUAGGUGGCGAGCGUUGUCCGGAAUUACUGGGUGUAAAGGGAGCGUAGGCGGGAGAGCAAGUCGACUGUGAAAUCUAUGGGCUUAACCCAUAGCUGCGAUCGAAACUGUUCAUCUUGAGUGAAGUAGAGGCAGGCGGAAUUCCUAGUGUAGCGGUGAAAUGCGUAGAUAUUAGGGGGAACACCAGUGGCGAAGGCGGCCUGCUGGGCUUUAACUGACGCUGAGGCUCGAAAGCGUGGGGAGCAAACAGG